Mus musculus (house mouse) is the source of this 786-nucleotide long non-coding RNA. RefSeq annotates it as predicted gene, 34475. Lineage: Eukaryota; Metazoa; Chordata; Mammalia; Rodentia; Muridae. The record is from RefSeq and is a predicted model, not a curated record. The transcript is spliced from 5 exons.
UGAUGCUAUGUAACUUUGCCUAGCAAGUUAUCCCUGAUUGGUGCAUAAAGACGCCUACAAUCAACAGCUGGGGAGAAGAGAGAUGGGGGGUGGUCUUGGGCUCCCAAAAGAUGCCAUGGGUUAGGACCCAAGAAACCAUGGCCAUAAGUGCUGGCCAGUUGGAGUUAAAAGCAGCCUAGAUGAAACAUAGGACAUCUAUGUUGUUUCCAGUUUCCAGCUUCCAGCUUCUGCGAAUAAAGCAGCUAUGAACAUAGAAUAACACAGUGCAAAUGCAAAGGACCAAAUGGAUGGGCACAGGCUUUUCUCAGGGUCUCGAACUCGGGACUAGAGAUGCAAGUUGGAGAAUCGGACUGCUUGGACAAUCAAAUGGAGAUCAUGAAGAAAAAACACUGGACCCAAUACAGAAAGCAACAGAUCGUGGGGAGCUCAAUCCUAACAGAUAAAUCUACAGGGUGGCUCCUGCAUCUAUGGCUAUGAGAACACUGUGGGAGAAGGAGGGAUGACCGCACCAGGCAGACGAUCAGGAAGACUGCCAUGCAACAGUAUCUCCUAGAAAUGGCUGUAUGAACAUGAACAAAAAAAUAGCAAUGCCAUUGGAUAUGUUACUAUGAAGUGAAAAUUUUGUCUGGUCUCACCCUUAGACAAAGAACAAGAGGCAACUAAUGACUGCUGGGAGAAGGAGACUCGCCCUUCCUCGGGUUAGCUUUUUAUUGGUUGCCCAAUAGAUAUGGUCAGCCCUGCAAACAUCUAUAUACGCACAGGCAAAAAUGGACUCAGCAAGUUGUA